CCUCUCGCGUCAGGAUAUGCCUAGGUGCGAUUAGCUAGUUGGUGAGGUAAGGGCUCACCAAGGCGACGAUCCCUAGCUGGUCUGAGAGGAUGAUCAGCCACACUGGAAUUGAGACACGGUCCAGACUCGUACGGGAGGCAGCAGUGGGGAAUAUUGCACAAUGGGCGCAAGCCUGAUGCAGCCAUGCCGCGUGUGUGAAGAAGGCCUUCGGGUUGUAAAGCACUUUCAGUCGUGAGGAAGGUAGUGUAGUUAAUAGCUGCAUUAUUUGACGUUAGCGACAGAAGAAGCACCGGCUAACUCCGUGCCAGCAGCCGCGGUAAUACGGAGGGUGCGAGCGUUAAUCGGAAUUACUGGGCGUAAAGCGCAUGCAGGUGGUUUGUUAAGUCAGAUGUGAAAGCCCGGGGCUCAACCUCGGAAUAGCAUUUGAAACUGGCAGACUAGAGUACUGUAGAGGGGGGUAGAAUUUCAGGUGUAGCGGUGAAAUGCGUAGAGAUGUGAAGGAAUACCGGUGGCGAAGGCGGCCCCCUGGACAGAUACUGACACUCAGAUGCGAAAGCGUGGGGAGCAAACAGGAUUAGAUACCCUGGUAGUCCACGCC
This 598-nucleotide ribosomal RNA is filed under the name Vibrio alginolyticus. RNAcentral describes it as "bacterial SSU rRNA". It matches the Rfam family "Bacterial small subunit ribosomal RNA", at positions 211 to 801 of the family's 1533-position model. The record is from RNAcentral. Lineage: Bacteria; Pseudomonadati; Pseudomonadota; Gammaproteobacteria; Vibrionales; Vibrionaceae.